Leptidea sinapis is the source of this 2347-nucleotide long non-coding RNA. RefSeq lists it as uncharacterized. The record is from RefSeq and is a predicted model, not a curated record. The transcript is spliced from 4 exons. Lineage: Eukaryota; Metazoa; Arthropoda; Insecta; Lepidoptera; Pieridae.
UCCAAUAUUUUCUCAUUUACCCCAACAUGCGCACUACGAGUGACAAAAUUCUCGUCGAAGACACAGACGCAUAAAAGGGAAGCAGACCUAACACAAACACAUGGAUGUGAAUAAUUUAAUAUCUACAUUUCUUUUACUUCAAAUAAAAGGGCUUUUUGCUAUAGCAACAUUAACACACUCAUAGAGAAAAUUGGAAUGAAGCAGUCGCCAUAUUGUUUAGCAGCAAAUAAGCGACAUAUGGCGUCUUAUCAUAUGUAAACAAGUCACAACUCCUUGUGCUUUAUUUUUUGCUAAUAGUGAUUUAUUGUGCUAACUGCUACUGUAAUAAUAAAUAAAUACUGAAAGAGGAUGGUGAAGUGCAGUGCGCCUUGUGCGGCAACGCAAUAUAUAAGAAAACAGUUGAAAUUACUUUUCACAGGUUUCCCAAGGAUGAAAGUAUGAAACUUGCAUGGUUGACCAAUGAAGAGACAUUUUGAACAAUUUUGAACCACACUUAAUAGAUAAAAGUGGAUUUCGAACAGUACUUGCUCCAGGAGCAAUUCCAACAAUAUUCAAUCUGUUACAAGAAGCUAUACCUACAGUGUCUAGAGGUCAUGCUGUACAGCAAAGUACUAGUACCUCUACUGCAUAUCCUCAGUGUGAUGAAGUCAGCCGCAAAAAGGAUGAAGAAAUAAGAAAAAUUAAACAUAAAGCUUUCCUCAAAAAUAAAAGGAUAAAAGAAUGCAAAAAGAAUAAAAACAACAGAAUGCACGGCUUAAGAAAAAAGUUUCAAAGUGCUCUGAAAUAAUAUCCAGCCUCAAAGAGAAGUUAAAUCUCGACAAAUUUCAUAUAGUGUCAGGAAUGAACCUAAAAAAUAAAGAUUUCUUUAUAAGAUAUAUGAAAAAAGCAACAAAAAGUUCCACUUUGAGUAAGUCAUAUUCACCGGAAUUGAGGGCUUUUGCUCUUCAAUUAAAUUUUUACUCGCCUAGAGCAUACAAUUUUAUUCGAAACUCAUUUAACACAGUCUUACCUCACCAGGCCACAUUGUCGUUUUUUAUGACCUAUGUCAUAUGAUUAAACUUGUUAGAAAUACCUUGGGCGAAUUCGGUAGUUUAAUAGAUCAAAAUCGUGACAUCAUAAAUUUUUAAUAUCUCAGUCUAUUGCUGGAACUUCAAACAAAUAAAUUAAAACAAGCUAAUAUUCUGUUUGGAAAACAAAAAAUGAAAGUGCGUUUGGCGGUGCAGCUACUUAGUAGAUCUGUUGCUGACGCGCUUUCCUUUUGUGAAGAUAAUUUUGAUGAAUUUGAAGGGUCUAGAGCAACAAUAAAAUUUAUUUGUGUCAUAAACGACUCUUUCGAUGUUUUAAAUAGCCGGUCCACACUUGCGCCUGGAAACAAAAAAGCCUUGUGUAGUGGUAAUAUUAAAAUGGUAAGAGAGCAAAUUGCUACUUGGCAAGAAUAUAUAACGAAUUUAAAAUUGCCGAACGGAAAUUUAAUUGUUAAUUCUGGUCGCAAAACCGGGUUUGUGGGAUUUAUUGUAAGUUUACAUAGUGCUCUUAAUUUGUUCGAGGACUUAGUAUCCAAAGGAAACUUACGAUUCCUGUCACUAUAAAAUAAGUCAGGAUUUCUUAGAAAUGUUCUUUGGAAAAAUGAGGGCUAGGGGUGGGUUUAAUGAUAACCCCAACAUGGUUUAAUUUAAGACUGUGUAUAAAAAAAAUAUUAUUCAAAUAAAAUUAAAAAUGGAAUCAGAUGGCUUCACCAUCCCAAAUAUAAUUUUAAAUACAAGUUCUAGUAAAAAGGUUGUAGAUAUAGUCAAUGAUACCACACCAAGUUUUGAAAAAAAUUUAAUGGAACUUCAUAACUUAAAUGAAGAAAAUAUUGAUUGCUUUAUUGAAAAUAUUGUUUCAAACCCCUUAGAUGUGUAUACUCACCAUGUAACUAUUUAUAUUUCAGGCUUCAUAGCUAGAAAAAUAAUUAAAGUUAUAAAUUGUUAUAAAUGUCAGAUGUUAAUGUUAGGAGAAAAGAAAAUUUCUUUAAAUCAUUAAUUAAUAAAAAGGACAGAGGAGGUUUGACAUAUCCGUCUAAUGGUCUGAUUAAAAUAAUCCAAUUGUGUGAAAAAUUCUUAAAAAUGUAUAAAGGAAAUGUAAAUUACACAAGUCUAAUUAUGUAUAUAGCUGAUUCCUCAAAUUACUAUUCAGAUUUAAAAACAAAUGAUGAACAUGAUUCUAAUCACGUGUAUUUAUUAGUUAGUGUAAUUGUUAAGUACUACAUUGAUUUAAGGAUGAAGUAUGAUGCUAAACAAAGCAACCUUUCUGAACGGAAUUAUUUGAAAAAAAUUAUUUUGUUCAAAAAUAAAUGAUUUUGAAAAAG